Molecule: long non-coding RNA, 759 nt
Organism: Anastrepha ludens (Mexican fruit fly)
Lineage: Eukaryota; Metazoa; Arthropoda; Insecta; Diptera; Tephritidae
Exons: 3
Source: RefSeq, a predicted model, not a curated record
AUGAAAUAAUUACACCAAGCUCGACUAAAUUUAAUACUGCGAUUAAAUGGAUAUAAUGCCAGCCCUCUUAGCAAAUUCACAAGAGAGAAGAACGGUCAAGUGAAGAGCGGCCAAGAGAAGAGCAGUACAGCAGUAGAGCAUAAGAACAGGAAGGACCGGAAUGAACCCAUGCUAAAAAGAUUUUCAAGGUCAGUUGCAUACUCGAACUUUUGAGGAAAGUUUAGCGGUAAAAGCACUUAACAUCUGAGUGGCUAUAAAUAUUGCAAAUAACCUAAUGCGUAAUUUGUACUCGUAUACCAAAAGCAAAGGCUCCAUAUCAAUGCCGAUAAGACCAAAUAAUUACAUGAAAAUGUCACGCGAUUUUAAAAGCGGAAGCCUGAAAAAACAUCUAUUGAACAACACGUUUUUGAAUCACUUGAGAGAUUCAACUACCUGAGGGUACUAAAAAAAUCACAAUAGUGUUCAGGACUGCACCCAAGAUCGACUUGUUGCAGCAUACAGAGCUCUCUACGCCAACCUGAUACUACUAAAAUCCAGACUACUAUCGCGCAGCUUUAACUCUAAGAUCAAGUUAUGCGUAUGAGUAAAGAAAUUCCUUCUUAAAUUACAACGCGCUGGCUACUGGAUGCAAAUGAAGGCCUAGGAAACGCGGGUUCAAAGAUAUCAAGAAACUGAAAAUACAUAAUUGAGGUCUGCUGCCUUGAAUCGAAGGCUAGUUGAUGAAGCCAAAGCUCACCCCGAGCAGCAACGCUGCCUGAU